UGAUUUUUUCAGGAUCAGCUGAGAUGUUAUUUCACUGGAUUAUUUAAUGGAUAGACUUAUUGGGCAUAUAUUUGGAUAUCUCUGUCAUCAACAUGGAAGAUAUGUUUUGUUCCUAACCAUCUAUAAUUAAUUCUCUAUGAAGUUCAGACUGUCUGCUCUUCCUUUGGAAAUACACAGUUAGUCAACCAACAUAGAAACACACAAACUUGAAGGAUUCUCUAGUGAGGGCUUAUGGAAAUGAUCUAUGUCUACUCUCAGAAUGGUGAAAGACUAUCAGAUUAUGCAAAGACUAACAGAAUAUCCUGUCUUGAACACUGAAACAAGAAAACCAAACAGGAGAUGGAUGGACGAUUUAAGAAGAACAUAGAUAAAUAUGAUUUCCAACCAAUUUAACCAGUACGAUCAUAGACUGUGGUUUACAGGAUGACAAAGAAAGGACCCAGGAUUGUAUCUUUUUACUGUCAGACACUGACUAUGGAUAAGAUGUAAUCAUUUAUUAAACUGAGAUCUAGUCAAAUCAAGUACAAUUGUAUUGAAAAUAUGAUUUUCUGAUAGCAUGAACUCUUUAAAAAUUAAUUCUCACGGACCUCAAAGUAUCUGAAUGUGACUUUUAUUUUUACCAAUUCCUAUUGAAGACUGUUGUUAUGUAUGAGAAGUAUACAUUUAAACCUUUUAUUUUUCAUCUUAUUUCUAUAACCCCCUAGAAAUUACACAGAUAUUCAGAUGCUGGAUUUAAUAUUAUUAUUUAACUUUCCUGGAAUGGUAAAUAUAUUUGUGUAUGUAUCAUGUUUAAUUUUGAAUUUAAAUUGGGUCUCAAUAAGACCCCCAAUAAAGAUGCAAGUGUCCCAUAAUCUGUGAUUUAAUAAUAUCUUGAAUAUCCUUAUCAUACCAUAUUGUACAUAUUUAUUACAUAUAGAAUGGUUGUAGGAAUACACUUUGUUGUUUAGGACACUUUGUCAAGGUCAAAGCAUAAGAUUACUAUAAAUACCUUUGACAAUAAUUUGUAACCUGCAAAAUUCGCAUCAUAAGUAAAGAAAGAUUCGGAGAUUUUCUAUAGAUUUUUUGGAUCAUUUUCUCCUGGAUAAAAUUUAGUUGUUGUAACUUUAACAUUUUGUGAUAACCUAAAGACUUUAUAUCAGCUCUAUUGGGUGGCAUAGCAUAUUCUUUGGAAAGAAUUGAAAUGUUAAUCAUAUGCACUAUGUUCAAGGAUGUUUAAAGACUAUUACUAUGUAAUACCUUAGAAUUCUGUACAAAUUUUAUUAUCACUGCGUAGAUAAAGACUGGUUGGGAUAAUUUAUGUUUUGAAAUAAGGUUUAGGGAAAAAAGUCAAGAAUGUGGAUAUGACUUUUAUUCAAAUGGUGCAGUACAGCAACUCUGGUGAUUUACAUACCUUCAGUCAUAAAUACAUGUAGAUAGGUAUU
Saccostrea cuccullata (small rock oyster) is the source of this 1421-nucleotide long non-coding RNA. RefSeq lists it as uncharacterized. NCBI's taxonomy places the organism in Eukaryota, Metazoa, Mollusca, Bivalvia, Ostreida, Ostreidae. The record is from RefSeq and is a predicted model, not a curated record. The transcript is spliced from 4 exons.